ACGGUACCCGCAGAAUAAGCACCGGCUAACUACGUGCCAGCAGCCGCGGUAAUACGUAGGGUGCAAGCGUUAAUCGGAAUUACUGGGCGUAAAGCGUGCGCAGGCGGUUUCGUAAGACAGAUGUGAAAGCCCCGGGCUCAACCUGGGAAGUGCAUUUGUGACUGCGAGACUAGAGUGUGUCAGAGGGAGGUAGAAUUCCACGUGUAGCAGUGAAAUGCGUAGAGAUGUGGAGGAAUACCGAUGGCGAAGGCAGCCUCCUGGGAUAACACUGACGCUCAUGCACGAAAGCGUGGGGAGCAAACAGGAUUAGAUACCCUGGUAGUCCACGCCCUAAACGAUGUCUACUAGUUGUCGGGGAUUCGUUUCCUUGGUAACGCAGCUAACGCGUGAAGUAGACCGCCUGGGGAGUACGGCCGCAAGGUUAAAACUCAAAGGAAUUGACGGGGACCCGCACAAGCGGUGGAUGAUGUGGAUUAAUUCGAUGCAACGCGAAAAACCUUACCUACGCUUGACAUGCCAGAAACCCCGCAGAGAUGUGGGGGUGCCCGAAAG
RNAcentral lists this ribosomal RNA (552 nucleotides) under uncultured bacterium. RNAcentral's name for it is "bacterial SSU rRNA". It matches the Rfam family "Bacterial small subunit ribosomal RNA", at positions 472 to 1024 of the family's 1533-position model. The record is from RNAcentral.